AUUGAACGCUGGCGGCAGGCUUACCACAUGCACGUCGAGCGAGCGGCGGACGGGUGAGUAAUGUCUGGUAAACUGCCUGAUGGAGGGGUAUAACUACUGGAAACGGUAGCUAAUACCGCAUACCAUCAGAUGUUCCCAGAUGGGAUUAGCUAGUAGGUGGGGUACUGGCUCACCUAGCCGACGAUCCCUCGCUGGUCUGAGAGGAUGACCAGCCACACUGGAAUUGAGACACGGUCCAGACUCCUACGGGAGGAAGCAGUGGGGAAUAUUGCACAAUGGGCGCAAGCCUGAUGCAGCCAUGCCGCGUGUGGGAAGAAGGCCUUCGGGUUGUAAAGCACUUUCAGCGAGGAGGCGUUACUCGCAGAAGAAGCACCGGCUAACUCCGUGCCAGCAGCCGCGGUAAUUC
Molecule: ribosomal RNA, 406 nt
Filed under: uncultured bacterium
Lineage: Bacteria
Description: partial 16S ribosomal RNA
Rfam family: Bacterial small subunit ribosomal RNA
Source: RNAcentral